Molecule: long non-coding RNA, 805 nt
Filed under: Brassica napus (rape)
Lineage: Eukaryota; Viridiplantae; Streptophyta; Magnoliopsida; Brassicales; Brassicaceae
Description: long non-coding RNA (BNAP_LNC015544)
Source: RNAcentral
UUUGAAUUAUCAUAAGUUAUCAUUUUUAAAAUAUAAAAGAGCAAUAGCAGUAACAUCCAACAACACCAAUACCACACGUUUUGCAACACAAAAAAAAACAAGUACUCCAUAUGUUACACUCCUAAUUGCAACAUAAAAAAAAAAACAGAAACACUAAUACACCGAUUGUAACACUACUCCUCGUUUGGUUCUUCAAUGGUCUUUUGUUUCUUGAAUGGUCUUCCAUGAGAUUUGCUAGAGGUCUUAGGAACUGGCUACAGUUUACAUUUACGCUUGUUGUGUCCGGUCUGUUGACAAUUGCUACAUGUCUACACAAUAAAACAAGUCAAUUAGUCAUUUAAUCAAUUAAAAGUUUACAUCAACCAUAGUUCUACAAGAUUCAAAAUUUCAAUAGAAAACAAAAAAUUCUAUUACCUUAACAUCUUGCAAGCUCUGAAAGUUUUUGUUUCCAGAUCAGCUCGGACACUCCUUCCCGUAAUCACAAACACAUCAACCACAACUUGGACACUAUGUCCCGAAAUCAGCUAUCAGUUGGUCUCUCAAUAACGAUGUUUAAAAUUCCUGAAAUCAACUCUCAAUCAACCACGAAAUCAUGUCUGAGCAAGAGAUUCUCAAAGGUAUAAAAUUAGGAUUCGUCGAAAUUGGGGGUUUCUGAAUUGUUUUCUUCGAUUAAUAUCUUGUUGGGUCGGGAAUGAGAGCGUCUUACCAUUUUAAACUAAUGUCAUGUGGUUUGGGAGAAAGACUUGUUGUUUUCUCUCUUAACUGAAACGCAACGUUCUGGGUUAACGGUUUCUGUCUAUAAAUC